Molecule: non-coding RNA, 224 nt
Organism: Pelobates cultripes (western spadefoot toad)
Lineage: Eukaryota; Metazoa; Chordata; Amphibia; Anura; Pelobatidae
Source: the annotation of a GenBank genome assembly
GGGGGCGGAGCCUAGCUGCCAAGCAGAGUGGACGUGCUAAAACCCAGCUCCUGCAUUAUCUGCCUGAUUUUGGGGAAAAUACCCAGUAAAACUGGCACAGAACUACUCUAAAGGGCAUAACUGAAUUGGGAUCCUCUGGGUGCAACUCUGGACACCCAAAUCGACUAACUAACCACCCGAGAUCCCAAGCUGCGGUGACCGAGGCCUACAGGAUGGCUGGCAGA